UUUGCCGAAUGACCCUUCCUCAUAGACGUAUUUACGUCAAAAAAUCAAGCUUCAAGUCUGUGCUUAAAGUACCAAGAGACGAAGUACAAUACGUGAAUACGAAUUGUUAGGAAAGUUAAUAAAUUGACAGAAAAAACAGUGGCGUAAUUUACGGAUGCCUUCGUGAAAUAACAUCUAGGACUAAGCACAUGCUUCAAAUUAUGCAGAAUAUUGGUUAAACCAGCUGUAGAAUGCAGAAGUGGUGGAUAUGAAGUGAAAUGAAGCCAGCACUCUUAUACGAAUACAGCUUAUAUAAUUAGACAAAAAGCAAAUGCAUAAUGAUAAGCGAGCGAGACUUAAGGUUGAUACUACUGAAAAAUUACUGGGUAUAUAAAAUUAUAAAAAGCGUAUCGAAUUGAAUGCAUACAUAAAAAGGUCAAAGACGACAUUCUUCAUUAUAAAUACAGAGCGAAGAAAACGAAGCAGAUGAUGGGAAGAGCAUUUUAUGGCCGGGGCAUGCAGCAGCAACUUGAAACGUUGGAACCAUUUCAGUAUUUGCUCUAAGACAGAGGAAGACCAAGAAACCGUGUAUUGAGAUGGCGGUUCGCAGGACUUUCCGGACGUAUAUUGACUACCAGCUUGCAGUCCGGCAAACAGAAGAAUGCAGUAGCUCGUAAGGUUUCCCUAACACGUGUGCCAAGCUACUGUAAACUACCAGGACAUGCAAGCAGCUGUCGCUAUCUUCCAGUCGAAUAAACAUGGAAGUGACGUUAAAAUUUCGCUCCGAAGUCCACAAAAGUAACGCUAUAUAUAUAGUAGCUUAGAUCUUCACGUGGCGUGAGGCUGCUUCUGGUUCAUCAAAGUACAGAGUUCUCUCGGUUUCAGAUGUUCAAUGAACCGCAAACUCAAUAUCUUAUAUGAACGACUCAUUUAUGAGUUCUCCUGUUAAAUUUGAAGACUUAAACAAAUCCAAUGAAGGAUCAUAUCAAAACACUAGCAUUAAGCGUCGUUACUAACACACAGUUUCACGAAGGACGCUAACAGGAUUAUCGCAAGAGACAAAUUGCAUUAGCUACAGGAGAAAGACCCAUAAUCCUUUGCGUGUGUUAUGUAGCAGAAAUGAAUAUCGAACGUUGUCAAUCUAAUUUAAACAACAAGAAAAUAUAUUCCAAUAGUCUCUUUCUCAUUUACUGCUGAUAAAAGUUAUCUAUGUAACCAAUUAAAAUUAACCUCGUUUUCAUAUCUUAUUUUAUACAUUAUAUCGCUGAUUUAAGUCUUACAUGAGAAAUAUCUCUGAAAAGAACAGAAAGGAGAUAACAGGAAAGUAGUAACAAUUACGCAACUAGGACCUUCAAAUGUUUUCUACAACACAUAUUACUAGAAUAAUAGAAAUAAAGGAUAAUAAAAUUGGCAGGACAUGUAGAAUGUAAAUGUCAGAUGAGAAAUAUA
Non-coding RNA from Zootermopsis nevadensis, 1428 nucleotides. NCBI's taxonomy places the organism in Eukaryota, Metazoa, Arthropoda, Insecta, Blattodea, Termopsidae. The record is from RefSeq and is a predicted model, not a curated record.